GGGGUCGACAUAGUUUCGACAGGGAUGUUAGCCUGGCUCUAACUGCAGUCGAGCGGUGACGUAAUCACUAAAAAUAAAUAACUGACAACAGUUAUAUGAGAGCUCCUAGAGCUCAAUCACUCUGCUUAGCUUAAUUGCUUCUCAAUAAUGAGUUCCGACGCUAGUCGCCGGGCAGAGCACUUCUUAGGGUUUUAGCCUUUCACGCCUAAAUAAAGUGUUAUACCAAAAGGAUAGAAUAAGCCAGUUGACUUGCUAAUCUUAUUUGAAAUUCAAUUAGUCUCGCGGAGAUAGCUACGAUAUGCCAAGCUUCGUUAAAAAACAUAAUAUCGUCUAAACUGUAGACGUUAUUGUAGGGCCUUCCUUGGACACGGGUGCAACUCCCGCCGGCUCCACCA
RNAcentral lists this transfer-messenger RNA (395 nucleotides) under Clostridiales bacterium. It matches the Rfam family "transfer-messenger RNA". From Rfam's summary of the family: Bacterial tmRNA, also known as 10Sa RNA or SsrA, is named for its dual tRNA and mRNA-like properties. Its role is to liberate the mRNA from a stalled ribosome. The record is from RNAcentral. Lineage: Bacteria; Bacillati; Bacillota; Clostridia; Eubacteriales.